RNAcentral lists this ribosomal RNA (477 nucleotides) under uncultured bacterium. Its description in RNAcentral is "partial 16S ribosomal RNA". It matches the Rfam family "Bacterial small subunit ribosomal RNA", at positions 28 to 507 of the family's 1533-position model. The record is from RNAcentral.
GGUGAACGCUGGCGGCGUGCUUAACACAUGCAAGUCGAACGAGAAGUGAAGACGGAAACCUUCGGGCGGAAGGCUUUAUUUCGAGUGGCGGACGGGUGAGUAACGCGUGGGUAACCUGCUCAUACAGGGGGAUAACAGUUGGAAACGACUGUUAAUACCGCAUAAGACCACAGCACCGCAUGGUGCGGGGGUAAAAACUCCGGUGGUAUGAGAUGGACCCGCGUUUGAUUAGCCAGUUGGCGGGGUAACGGCCCACCAAAGCGACGAUCGAUAGCCGAUCUGAGAGGAUGACCGGCCACAUUGGGACUGAGACACGGCCCAAACUCCUACGGGAGGCAGCAGUGGGGAAUAUUGCACAAUGGGGGAAACCCUGAUGCAGCGACGCCGCGUGAGUGAAGAAGUAUUUCGGUAUGUAAAGCUCUAUCAGCAGGGAAGAAAAUGACGGUACCUGAGGAAGAAGCCCCGGCUAACUACGUG